RNAcentral lists this ribosomal RNA (264 nucleotides) under uncultured bacterium. RNAcentral describes it as "partial 16S ribosomal RNA". It matches the Rfam family "Bacterial small subunit ribosomal RNA", at positions 88 to 354 of the family's 1533-position model. The record is from RNAcentral.
UGACUGAGUGGCGGACGGUGAGUAACGCGUGGGUAACCUGCCCUGUACAGGGGACAACAGUUAGAAAUGACUGCUAAUACCGCAUAAGCGCACAGGACCGCAUGGUCCGGUGUGAAAAACUCCGGUGGUACAGGAUGGACCCGCGUCUGAUUAGGUAGUUGGCGGGGUAACGGCCCACCAAGCCGACGAUCAGUAGCCGACCUGAGAGGGUGACCGGCCACAUUGGGACUGAGACACGGCCCAAACUCCUACGGGAGGCAGCAG